CGGACAUGUUGGUGGGUGACUGGGUAUAAAUUCUACCAUGAGAGAUUUCUGUGUUCCAUGGUGCAGUGAGGAAGGUGCUGAGACCUUCCCCACAGUCGUAAAAUACUCGGAAACACAAAACCAUGAGGAAGCUGGGGGAGAUUGCCUUCCAAGACAUCCCAAGGCCAACAGCAAUGAAGAACCCCAUCAGGGUUCCAUCAGGUCUCCAGAGAACAAGUUGAAG
Long non-coding RNA from Grammomys surdaster, 223 nucleotides. RefSeq lists it as uncharacterized. The transcript is spliced from 3 exons. NCBI's taxonomy places the organism in Eukaryota, Metazoa, Chordata, Mammalia, Rodentia, Muridae. The record is from RefSeq and is a predicted model, not a curated record.